GGCACGCCUAACACAUGCAAGUCGAGCGCGCCCUUCGGGGUGAGCGGCGGACGGGUUAGUAACGCGUGGGAAUCUGCCUAGUAGUGGGGGAUAACAAUCGGAAACGGUUGCUAAUACCGCAUACGCCCUACGGGGGAAAGGCUUCGGCCGCUAUUAGAUGAGCCCGCGUAAGAUUAGCUUGUUGGUAGGGUAAUGGCCUACCAAGGCAACGAUCUUUAGCUGGUCUGAGAGGACGAUCAGCCACACUGGGACUGAGACACGGCCCAAACUCC
This 272-nucleotide ribosomal RNA is filed under the name uncultured bacterium. RNAcentral's name for it is "partial 16S ribosomal RNA". It matches the Rfam family "Bacterial small subunit ribosomal RNA", at positions 41 to 339 of the family's 1533-position model. The record is from RNAcentral.